Molecule: ribosomal RNA, 594 nt
Filed under: Rhizocarpon alpicola
Lineage: Eukaryota; Fungi; Ascomycota; Lecanoromycetes; Rhizocarpales; Rhizocarpaceae
Description: partial large subunit ribosomal RNA
Source: RNAcentral
CAAAUUAUUGUUAAGUGAAAAUAAGGUAGUGUUUAUCCAAGCCAACCAGGAAAUGGGCUUAGGAGCGGCCAUUUUUUAAAGACCUCGUAACAGAGCACUGGUUUUAUACAAUUUUGUAUGUAUUGUUAGAUGCACCUAAAAUUUAACGGAUCUAAAUAAUAUACCGAGACCUUGUCCAUAAAUAUUUAUUAUGUACAAGAUAUAUAUAAUAUAUAUGGGGUAGCGGAACAUUGGGCAUAUCUCARAUUUUUUCUUUUUAAGACUUAAGAUUAGAUUACCCAAGUGAUAAUGCUGACAUGAGUAACGAUAAAGGGUUUAUACCCUCGCCUAAAGCUUAUGGAAUUUACUUAAAGUAACGGCCUCUAAGUUUAAAUUUGCUAUAGUUUAAACAAACAACACUUGAUACCUAACUCUAACAGACGAUACAAGUGCAAAAUAGUAAAUACCUAAUGGUAUAAACGAUGAGAAAAAGCUAAGUUUUACAGAUAUAAAUAGCAUGAGUGUUGCAGGUAGGUAUUAUAUAUAUAAUGGAUUUUUUUUUUUUCUUUUUAUGCGUUAUUAUCCUUUGCACUCUUUUGAUAUAUUGGGGCCGGG